Molecule: ribosomal RNA, 424 nt
Filed under: uncultured bacterium
Lineage: Bacteria
Description: bacterial SSU rRNA
Rfam family: Bacterial small subunit ribosomal RNA
Source: RNAcentral
UCGAGAAUCUUCCGCAAUGGACGAAAGUCUGACGGAGCGACGCCGCGUGCGGGAUGAAGGCCCUUGGGUUGUAAACCGCUUUCGGGGGGGAUGAAAUCUCUGAGGGUACUCCCUCAGAGUUGACAGAGCCCCAAAAGAAGCACGGGCUAAGUACGUGCCAGCAGCCGCGGUAACACGUACUGUGCGAACGUUAUUCGGAAUCACUGGGCUUAAAGGGUGCGUAGGCGGCAAUCCAAGUCAGAUGUGAAAUGCCUGAGCUUAACUGAGGCACUGCGUUUGAAACUGGAUUGCUUGAGUAUUUCAGGGGUGUGCGGAACUGCCAGUGGAGCGGUGAAAUGUGUUGAUAUUGGCAGGAACACCGGAGGCGAAAGCGGCACACUGGGGAAUAACUGACGCUGAGGCACGAAAGCCAGGGUAGCGAACG